RNAcentral lists this ribosomal RNA (391 nucleotides) under Agrobacterium tumefaciens. RNAcentral's name for it is "bacterial SSU rRNA". It matches the Rfam family "Bacterial small subunit ribosomal RNA", at positions 29 to 447 of the family's 1533-position model. The record is from RNAcentral. Lineage: Bacteria; Pseudomonadati; Pseudomonadota; Alphaproteobacteria; Hyphomicrobiales; Rhizobiaceae.
AACGAACGCUGGCGGCAGGCUUAACACAUGCAAGUCGAGCGCCCCGCGAGGGGAGCGGCAGACGGGUGAGUAACGCGUGGGAAUCUACCGUGCCCUACGGAAUAGCUCCGGGAAACUGGAAUUAAUACCGUAUACGCCCUACGGGGGAAAGAUUUAUCGGGGUAUGAUGAGCCCGCGUUGGAUUAGCUAGUUGGUGGGGUAAAGGCCUACCAAGGCGACGAUCCAUAGCUGGUCUGAGAGGAUGAUCAGCCACAUUGGGACUGAGACACGGCCCAAACUCCUACGGGAGGCAGCAGUGGGGAAUAUUGGACAAUGGGCGCAAGCCUGAUCCAGCCAUGCCGCGUGAGUGAUGAAAGGUCUUAGGAUUGUAAAAGCUUUUUUCACCCGGGGA